RNAcentral lists this ribosomal RNA (429 nucleotides) under Chloroflexota bacterium. Its description in RNAcentral is "Chloroflexi bacterium partial 16S ribosomal RNA". It matches the Rfam family "Bacterial small subunit ribosomal RNA", at positions 355 to 776 of the family's 1533-position model. The record is from RNAcentral. Lineage: Bacteria; Bacillati; Chloroflexota.
UGGGGAAUAUUGCACAAUGGGCGCAAGCCUGAUGCAGCCAUGCCGCGUGUGUGAAGAAGGCCUUCGGGUUGUAAAGCACUUUCAGCGGGGAGGAAGGCGAUAAGGUUAAUAACCUUGUCGAUUGACGUUACCCGCAGAAGAAGCACCGGCUAACUCCGUGCCAGCAGCCGCGGUAAUACGGAGGGUGCAAGCGUUAAUCGGAAUUACUGGGCGUAAAGCGCACGCAGGCGGUCUGUCAAGUCGGAUGUGAAAUCCCCGGGCUCAACCUGGGAACUGCAUUCGAGACUGGCAGGCUAGAGUCUUGUAGAGGGGGGUAGAAUUCCAGGUGUAGCGGUGAAAUGCGUAGAGAUCUGGAGGAAUACCGGUGGCGAAGGCGGCCCACUGGACAAAGACUGACGCUCAGGUGCGAAAGCGUGGGGAGCAAACAGG